AGGCAACUUAGCCGAGCGGUUAAGGCGAUAGUUUUAGGUCAUUAGGUGAUUUACUAGUUUAAAAGAGCGAGAGUUUAAAUCUCUUUAGUUGUCA
This 94-nucleotide transfer RNA is filed under the name Pseudogymnoascus destructans. Its description in RNAcentral is "partial tRNA-Leu". It matches the Rfam family "tRNA". From Rfam's summary of the family: Transfer RNA (tRNA) molecules are approximately 80 nucleotides in length. Their secondary structure includes four short double-helical elements and three loops (D, anti-codon, and T loops). Further hydrogen bonds mediate the characteristic L-shaped molecular structure. tRNAs have two regions of fundamental functional importance: the anti-codon, which is responsible for specific mRNA codon recognition, and the 3' end, to which the tRNAs corresponding amino acid is attached (by aminoacyl-tRNA synthetases). tRNAs cope with the degeneracy of the genetic code in two manners: having more than one tRNA (with a specific anti-codon) for a particular amino acid; and 'wobble' base-pairing, i.e. permitting non-standard base-pairing at the 3rd anti-codon position. The record is from RNAcentral. Lineage: Eukaryota; Fungi; Ascomycota; Leotiomycetes; Thelebolales; Thelebolaceae.